GUCCCUGUAGCGCAAUGAAUAGCGUGUUGAACUUCUAAUCCAAAUGCCGUAGGUUCGAAUCCACCUGGGAUG
Molecule: transfer RNA, 72 nt
Filed under: Trichonephila inaurata madagascariensis
Lineage: Eukaryota; Metazoa; Arthropoda; Arachnida; Araneae; Nephilidae
Rfam family: tRNA
About the family: Transfer RNA (tRNA) molecules are approximately 80 nucleotides in length. Their secondary structure includes four short double-helical elements and three loops (D, anti-codon, and T loops).
Source: Rfam by way of RNAcentral